This 253-nucleotide ribosomal RNA is filed under the name uncultured bacterium. RNAcentral describes it as "partial 16S ribosomal RNA". It matches the Rfam family "Bacterial small subunit ribosomal RNA", at positions 524 to 776 of the family's 1533-position model. The record is from RNAcentral.
UACGUAGGGUGCAAGCGUUAAUCGGAAUUACUGGGCGUAAAGCGUGCGCAGGCGGUGAUGUAAGACAGUUGUGAAAUCCCCGGGCUCAACCUAGGAACUGCAUCUGUGACUGCAUCGCUGGAGUACGGUAGAGGGGGAUGGAAUUCCGCGUGUAGCAGUGAAAUACGUAGAUAUGCGGAGGAACACCGAUGGCGAAGGCAAUCCCCUGGACCUGUACUGACGCUCAUGCACGAAAGCGUGGGGAGCAAACAGG